GCACUAGUGGUAUAGUGGUAGCAUAGGCCCCUGCCAAUGCUGGUGAGCUGUGGGGCGUCCUCUCUCGGUCCGCCCCUCACCACAUGCAUCGCGGGCCAGACCUGAGUUCGAUUCUCAGCUAGUGCA
RNAcentral lists this transfer RNA (126 nucleotides) under Chlamydomonas reinhardtii. It matches the Rfam family "tRNA". From Rfam's summary of the family: Transfer RNA (tRNA) molecules are approximately 80 nucleotides in length. Their secondary structure includes four short double-helical elements and three loops (D, anti-codon, and T loops). Further hydrogen bonds mediate the characteristic L-shaped molecular structure. tRNAs have two regions of fundamental functional importance: the anti-codon, which is responsible for specific mRNA codon recognition, and the 3' end, to which the tRNAs corresponding amino acid is attached (by aminoacyl-tRNA synthetases). tRNAs cope with the degeneracy of the genetic code in two manners: having more than one tRNA (with a specific anti-codon) for a particular amino acid; and 'wobble' base-pairing, i.e. permitting non-standard base-pairing at the 3rd anti-codon position. Lineage: Eukaryota; Viridiplantae; Chlorophyta; Chlorophyceae; Chlamydomonadales; Chlamydomonadaceae. The record is from Rfam by way of RNAcentral.